GCCUACGGGGGGCAGCAGUGAGGAAUAUUGCGCAAUGGGGGCAACCCUGACGCAGCAACGCCGCGUGAGUGAGGAAGGUUUUCGGACCGUAAAGCUCUGUCGAGCGGGAAGAAAUGCAUGGUGGCUAAUAUCCAUCAUGCUUGACGGUACCGCUAAAGGAAGCACCGGCUAACUCCGUGCCAGCAGCCGCGGUAAUACGGGGGGUGCAAGCGUUGUUCGGAAUUAUUGGGCGUAAAGAGCGUGUAGGCGGCUGGAUAAGUCAGAUGUGAAAUCCCUGGGCUUAACUCAGGAAGUGCAUUUGAAACUAUCCAGCUUGAGUAAGGGAGAGGAAAGUGGAAUUCCUGGUGUAGAGGUGAAAUUCGUAGAUAUCAGGAGGAACACCGGUGGCGAAGGCGACUUUCUGGCCCUAUACUGACGCUGAGACGCGAGAGCGUGGGUAGCAAACAGGAUUAGAUACCCCAGUAGUCACC
RNAcentral lists this ribosomal RNA (470 nucleotides) under uncultured Syntrophus sp. RNAcentral's name for it is "bacterial SSU rRNA". It matches the Rfam family "Bacterial small subunit ribosomal RNA", at positions 337 to 798 of the family's 1533-position model. Lineage: Bacteria; Pseudomonadati; Thermodesulfobacteriota; Syntrophia; Syntrophales; Syntrophaceae. The record is from RNAcentral.